UUUUUUUCCUUAAGAAGUGUCAGUGUAAAAGUCUCCACUUGGGUGGUCAGAGCAGCGGCUGCCCCCAGUUUGCCUCAUAGCUGAUGCCUGCGCGCUACAUUCCUAGCGAUAAUGUUGUUCCUAAUCAAUCUGCCCUUAUUUACAUUUGUAAGCCCUGCUGGCUGCGAUAUGUAUGCCCUGUGUGUGCAACUGCUCCUCCACACCAAGGGCUUUUUCUGUCCUCAGCAACUCGCGGGGAUCCCACAGAUUUCUUAUCUCGGUCUUGCACUGGGCUGAAGGCCUGUGAAGCAACCUUUUAUACCUGGUCCUCCCAAUUCCUGGACAGCCAGGGCUGGCGUACAAGAAUCUCAGCUUUGGCUUUGGCCAUAGUGGGUUCAUUUUGUAGCGUUCUGCCUCUUACUUAGAUCCCCUUUGUGCUCAUAACCCCAAAUACUGCAAAGCUUCACGCUUCCUUCAGCCAGGUGAGGAGUCAAAUCCAAUAGAGGUCAACAGUGAGUAGCAGGUAUAUACACUGAUUUCACUUUUUUUCAGGUUGCCUGUGGACACACCACCGAGAGCACUACACUGCUGGAGCAUCUGAUUACCUUAAUGAAGAAACGGCACAGAGAUUAAGUGCUUUGGCUUCAUUUUGUAGGUGCUACAGGGCAGCUGACCAUGGCAGAAGAAGGACUUGCGGGAAAAUACUCUGAUUUUGUCUACUCUCUCAAUUUUUUGUCUUUCAUACACGUUUUCAUCGCACAAGGGCACAGGUCUGGCUCAGCCCUGUGCUCCUUACGCACUCCUGGCGCUGGCUUUGACAUCGGAUAAGGUCACGGGGCAACACCUUCACUGGCUUCUGCAGGGCAGCUUCAGCCUCUGCGUUUCCACUCCCAGUGCCCCGCUUGCCACCGGGCACUGGAGGCCGCAGUCCGGGCGGGGCGCGACCGGCACCGGGGAGCCGCUCCGCAGGGCAGCGCCGCACCCGGGGAAGGAGGCGGCGGCACGAAGCGAGCCCUCUCCCCCGCCGCAGCCCUGCGAGAAAGGGAACUGCUCGAGCCAACUUGUCAAAAUAAUGCGGCUAAUUACCCCUGAUCUCCUUUAAUGGGAAGCUGCUCUGCACGCCACAAAGGAGCAAAUGAGGGAUCUACAACACCAACUCAGCAGCGCUGGCAUUUUCUUCCGCGGAGGGCUGCGAGGAAAAUGUGCCUCCAGAGGAGCCUCCGAGGUCCCUGCGUUCCUCCCGCGCAGCGGCGGACUCCCAGGGGAAGAGCAGAGCGCCGGGGAGCUGCGCAGGGCAGCGGCAGGAGCGGCAGCCCUCUCCCUCCAAAAGCUGGAGGACACCCCAGCCCCAGCAGACCUUGUCAUAUUCCACGAGGAAUUAGCUCUGUAAACCCAAGUCGUCUUCAAGACAGAUUCUUUUCCUGGCAAAAUGCCCUGCCACUUUCAGGACAUUAAUGUGGAUAGAGAGGCGAAAGUUACACUGAACCGUUUUCAGCUAGCCCGGACAACACCGGGUCUGUGUAAAGGUAUAGCUCAAGUCUUGCAUUUGGCAGAAUGCAGGGCAUUCAUUUUCAUGAUCUCUGCCAUCGGGUCUUGCAGAAAAAGAAAAAAAAAAAGCUGAGCGACACAAUCUCUUUGACCCACUGCUGGAGCAACAAAUUUAUUAGAGAUAUAGGCGUGAGAAAUGAAAAGGAAGUAAAACAA
This 1683-nucleotide long non-coding RNA is filed under the name Strigops habroptila (Kakapo). RNAcentral describes it as "lncRNA (ENSSHBG00005020250.1)". Lineage: Eukaryota; Metazoa; Chordata; Aves; Psittaciformes; Psittacidae. The record is from RNAcentral.